GCGAAAGCAGGUCAUAGUGAUCCGGUGGUUCUGAAUGGAAGGGCCAUCGCUCAACGGAUAAAAGGUACUCCGGGGAUAACAGGCUGAUACCGCCCAAGAGUUCAUAUCGACGGCGGUGUUUGGCACCUCGAUGUCGGCUCAUCACAUCCUGGGGCUGAAGUAGGUCCCAAGGGUAUGGCUGUUCGCCAUUUAAAGUGGUACGCGAGCUGGGUUUAGAACGUCGUGAGACAGUUCGGUCCCUAUCUGCCGUGGGCGCUGGAGAACUGAGGGGGGC
RNAcentral lists this ribosomal RNA (274 nucleotides) under Staphylococcus aureus. RNAcentral's name for it is "partial 23S ribosomal RNA". It matches the Rfam family "Bacterial large subunit ribosomal RNA", at positions 2399 to 2672 of the family's 2925-position model. The record is from RNAcentral. Lineage: Bacteria; Bacillati; Bacillota; Bacilli; Caryophanales; Staphylococcaceae.